GAGUAAAGCGGCGAAAGGGUGAGUAACACGUGGGUAACCUGCCCCUUGGACCGGGAUAACCCGCGAAAGGUGGGUUAAUACCGGAUAAGACCACACGGACUCAUGUCCGAGCGGUAAAAGAUGGCCUCUGCUUGCAAGCUAUCACCAGAGGAUGGGGCCCGCGGCCUAUUAGCUAGUUGGUAGGGUAACGGCCUACCAAGGCUAUGAUGGGUAGCCGGCCUGAGAGGGUGUACGGCCACACUGGAACUGAGACACGGUCCAGACUCCUACGGGAGGCAGCAGUGGGGAAUUUUUGCGCAAUGGGGGAAACCCUGACGCAGCAACGCCGCGUGAGUGAUGAAGGCCUUCGGGUCGUAAAACUCUUUUGGCGGGGAAGAAAUGUGUCGUGGCCAACAUCCACGGCACUUGACGGUACCCGCAGAAAAAGUCCCGGCUAACUCCGUGCCAGCAGCCGCGGUAA
This 460-nucleotide ribosomal RNA is filed under the name uncultured delta proteobacterium. Its description in RNAcentral is "bacterial SSU rRNA". It matches the Rfam family "Bacterial small subunit ribosomal RNA", at positions 88 to 523 of the family's 1533-position model. The record is from RNAcentral. Lineage: Bacteria; Deltaproteobacteria.